CUGGGUUGCCUCCAUUUUGGAAGCUGCUGCCAACAAGAGGAAGAACCGGAGACGGAGACAUGAGGUCUAUCGGCUGAUUGGACGGAAACUGCGGAACGCUGGGAUCGGACUGUGCCGCUGCACACGGCCCACCUACGUCUACCCCCCGGAGCUGAAGACCGGCCGUGCGACAGACCUUUCCCGGGGAAAUCCGGGAUUUCCCGGACCCCCAGCACAGCAGGGUUGUUCAUGUGACCCUGGAGGAUCUGUGGCGAUUGGACAGUGCGCUGAGUGAGUGAGCAGGGAUCAUCCAGCAGGGAUCCACCAAUGGGGGAACCCAUCAGCGAUCCACCAAUCAGAACAUCCGACAGUGAUCCACCAAUCAGAACAGCCGACGGCGAUCCACCAAUCAGAACAUCCGACAGCGCAUCCACCAAUCAGAACAUCCGACGGCAAUCCACCAAUCAGAACAUCCGACGGCAAUCCACCAAUCAGAAUAUGCAUCAGGGAUCCACCAAUGGGAACGU
Stegostoma tigrinum is the source of this 506-nucleotide long non-coding RNA. RefSeq lists it as uncharacterized. The record is from RefSeq and is a predicted model, not a curated record. The transcript is spliced from 3 exons. Lineage: Eukaryota; Metazoa; Chordata; Chondrichthyes; Orectolobiformes; Stegostomatidae.